Molecule: ribosomal RNA, 659 nt
Filed under: Katamysis warpachowskyi
Lineage: Eukaryota; Metazoa; Arthropoda; Malacostraca; Mysida; Mysidae
Description: eukaryotic LSU rRNA
Rfam family: Eukaryotic large subunit ribosomal RNA
Source: RNAcentral
CAAGAGUCUAUCAUGUGCACGAGUCAAUGGGUUUACUAAACCUACAGGCGAAGUGAAAGCAAAGGUUAUCAUUAGACGACCGAGAGCCGAUCCCUUACUUUGAUGUAAGGCGCAGCCUCGGGACUUGCAUUCCCCAUUGUGGGAGGCGAGUACCAGGAGUGCACCUGGUAGUACCCGAAAGAUGGUGAACUAUACCUGGCCAGGACGAAGCCAGAGGAAACUCUGGUGGAGGUCCGUAACGCUUCUGACGUGCAAAUCGAUCGUUGGAGCUGGGUAUAGGGGCGAAAGACCAAUCGAACUAUCUAGUAGCUGGUUCCCUCCGAAGUUUCCCUUAGGAUAGCUGGCGCUCUUUACAGAGUUUCAUCCGGUAAAGCGAAUGAUUAGAGGUGUUGGGGACGAAACGUCCUCAACCUAUUCUCAUACUUUAAAUGGGUGAGAAGUCGGGCUUGCAAAUUUAAAUCGGAGCCCGACAGUGAAUCUGAGUGCCUAGUGGGCCAUUUUUGGUAAGCAGAACUGGCGCUGUGGGAUGAACCAAACGUUGAGUUAAGGGGCCUAAAUAAAUGCAUAUCAGAUCCCAUGAAAGGUGUUGGUUGCUAUAGACAGCAGGACGGUGGCCAUGGAAGUCGGAAUCCGCUAAGGAGUGUGUAACAACUCACCUG